Long non-coding RNA from Betta splendens (Siamese fighting fish), 1528 nucleotides. RefSeq lists it as uncharacterized. NCBI's taxonomy places the organism in Eukaryota, Metazoa, Chordata, Actinopteri, Anabantiformes, Osphronemidae. The record is from RefSeq and is a predicted model, not a curated record. The transcript has 3 exons.
CUGUCUGUCUGUCUGUCUGUCUGUCUGUCUGUCUGUCUGUCUGUCCGUCCGUCCGUCCGUCCGUCCGUCCGUCCGUCCGUCCGUCCGUCCGUCCGUCCGUCCGUCCGUCCGUCCGUCCGUCCAUCCAUCCAUCCAUCCAUCCAUCCAUCCAUCCAUCCAUCCAUCCAUCCAAAAUAUAGACCCUUAUUGACCCUUUCAGUUAGUUUCAAAUUUGCACAUGUCAGCAAGCCCAUGUGGCAGUUUCCGUUUUUCUAUCUACAGUCAUUUCUUCCUCUUUCUCGUUUGUAUUCAUGGAACAAGUGAAAUUAAAUUUCCUAAUUAAUUAGUAACUGCUGACCAACGAUGCUCAAACUCAUUUUCUCAUUUACUUUUUCUCCUGUUUUUUUUUUCUUCUGCUGCCGCGUGGUUGAUCCUCAGUGGCCACAGCCUUGUGCCUGACAGUGAUGGUGUUGUUCCGCCGCUCACUGUUGGCCUGCUUCUCCUCCGACAGCAACCCAGCUCCUGACUCCUAAUUGGUGGAAACGCUAGCAGCAUCUGGUUCUGGCAAACACAGCGGUGACCAUACAGGAGAGGAGGCGGCGGUGGAGCAAACACCGUGUCGAGGCUGUGGUGACCAGUGGCUCCUGCCUGUCCGAUGGGCCGACAGACGCGCCUCAGCCCCCGAGGCUCAAUGCAGUUUGGAUUAGCCGGGAUGCUGCAGCACGGCUGUCACAAAGUGUUAAGGAGGCAACAAGAGGAACGGGAGCAAUAUGGGACACGUUCGACUCUUCUGCCAAACUCCCUUCACUUCACUAUGUGCUGUAUAUAUAGUUUCAGUCAACACUUGGAAGUACUGAACAAAACAUUCUCGAAUACACAAGUAGCCAGGUUCCUCUGUACAUGUUUGUAUACAUUAUUUCCUAUAUCUAAAUUAUAAUUUUGUUGCAUUAUCUGUGCUUCCUCAUUGAACCCAUGUUUUUACUUCACUGCAGAGACGGUAAUUACAAUCACACUAAACAGGCUUGAACCGUAUCAAACAUUAAUUAAUAUCAAAAUUAUUUGGGUUAUCCAUUGCUAAAACACGCGGUUUUUGCAUGCUAAUGCCACGUAUUCUGAAAAAUUCCUGCAAUUCAAUUACUCGGGAAUAUCAUUAAAGGCAACAAAUUUACAGUUUAAUUUGUGUGGACUAUUUAAGUCGCUGCAGAGCUGCAGAAUCCCCGUCCUCUGUAAGUGGAUUAAUUAAUUUGAAUCAAUAAAGUCUCUUAGUGGUGUUGCUCCCCCCCUAAAAAAACAACCCACUCCACUCAGAGCCUUAUCAGCUGCAGCUGAGGUCCAAGCCGUCGCUUCUCACCUCAGAAACCAGACAAUUAGUGGCAGAUGAAUUCUAGCUCGUCUUUUGCUUUGUGCAGUACAAUAAAUUUAUGCGUUGGUUUGUGGCAUGUUUUUAUUUUUUAUAAAAGCUUAUGUCACAUCUGCUCAUUCAAAGUGUUUUGCAUUUAUUCUAUGUUCAAUACACAAUAAACAUUUUAAAGUUACUAUUUAUAACUAU